AAUUUACACAACAAAAUAAUCUGCCAGAGAACUACUAGCAACAGCUUAAAACUCAAAGGACUUGGCGGUGCUUUAUAUCCCUCUAGAGGAGCCUGUUCUGUAAUCGAUAAACCCCGAUAAACCUCACCACUCCUAGCUAAACCAGUCUAUAUACCGCCAUCUUCAGCAAACCCUUAAAAGGAAGAAAAGUAAGCACAAUAAUACUACAUAAAAAAGUUAGGUCAAGGUGUAACCCAUGGAGUGGGAAGAAAUGGGCUACAUUUUCUUAUCAAGAAUACACUCACGAAAGUUUUCAUGAAAACUGAAAACUAAAGGUGGAUUUAGUAGUAAAUUAAGAAUAGAGAGCUUAGUUGAAUAGGGCCAUGAAGCACGCACACACCGCCCGUCACCCUCCUCAAGCAACACAUUCAACCAUUACAUAAUAUAAACUAAACUGAAGCAAGAGGAGAUAAGUCGUCAACAAGGUAAGCGUACUGGAAAGUGUGCUUGGAUUAAA
This 496-nucleotide ribosomal RNA is filed under the name Martes americana (American marten). RNAcentral describes it as "partial 12S ribosomal RNA". It matches the Rfam family "Bacterial small subunit ribosomal RNA", at positions 848 to 1525 of the family's 1533-position model. Lineage: Eukaryota; Metazoa; Chordata; Mammalia; Carnivora; Mustelidae. The record is from RNAcentral.